Molecule: ribosomal RNA, 497 nt
Filed under: uncultured bacterium
Lineage: Bacteria
Description: partial 16S ribosomal RNA
Rfam family: Bacterial small subunit ribosomal RNA
Source: RNAcentral
GAUGAACGCUGGCGGCGUGCCUAAUACAUGCAAGUCGAGCGAACAGACGAGGAUCUUGCUCCUCUGACGUUAGCGGCGGACGGGUGAGUAACACGUGGAUAACCUACCUAUAAGACUGGGAUAACUUCGGGAAACCGGAGCGAAUACCGGAUAAUAUAUUGAACCGCAUGGUUCAAUAGUGAAAGACGGUUUUGCUGUCACUUAUAGAUGGAUCCGCGCCGCAUUAGCUAGUUGGUAAGGUAACGGCUUACCAAGGCAACGAUGCGUAGCCGACCUGAGAGGGUGAUCGGCGACACUGGAACUGAGACACGGUCCAGACUCCUACGGGAGGCAGCAGUAGGGAAUCUUCCGCAAUGGGCGAAAGCCUGACGGAGCAACGCCGCGUGAGUGAUGAAGGUCUUCGGAUCGUAAAACUCUGUUAUUAGGGAAGAACAAAUGUGUAAGUCACUAUGCACGUCUUGACGGUACCUAAUCAGAAAGCCACGGCUAACUACGUG